RNAcentral lists this ribosomal RNA (399 nucleotides) under uncultured bacterium. RNAcentral describes it as "bacterial SSU rRNA". It matches the Rfam family "Bacterial small subunit ribosomal RNA", at positions 28 to 431 of the family's 1533-position model. The record is from RNAcentral.
GAUGAACGCUAGCGGCAGGCUUAACACAUGCAAGUCGAGGGGUAUGCUUCUUCGGAAGCAGAGACCGGCGCACGGGUGCGUAACGCGUAUGCAAUCUACCUUUUACAGAGGGAUAGCCCAGAGAAAUUUGGAUUAAUACCUCAUAGUAUUAUAGAAUGGCAUCAUUUUAUAAUUAAAGUCACAACGGUAAAAGAUGAGCAUGCGUCCCAUUAGCUAGUUGGAAGGUAACGGCUUACCAAGGCUACGAUGGGUAGGGGUCCUGAGAGGGAGAUCCCCACACUGGUACUGAGACACGGACCAGACUCCUACGGGAGGCAGCAGUGAGGAAUAUUGGACAAUGGGCGCAAGCCUGAUCCAGCCAUGCCGCGUGCAGGAUGACGGUCCUAUGGAUUGUAAACU